Molecule: ribosomal RNA, 480 nt
Filed under: uncultured Campylobacterota bacterium
Lineage: Bacteria; Pseudomonadati; Campylobacterota
Description: bacterial SSU rRNA
Rfam family: Bacterial small subunit ribosomal RNA
Source: RNAcentral
UGGAGAGUUUGAUCCUGGCUCAGAGUGAACGUUGGCGGCGUGCUUAACACAUGCAAGUCGAACGAUGAUUAAGAGCUUGCUCUUAUGAUUAGUGGCGCACGGGUGAGUAAUGUAUAGCUAACGUGCCCCAUAGAGGGGGAUAACAGUUGGAAACGACUGCUAAUACCCCAUACUCCUUCUUCCUAUAAGGGAAGUCGGGAAAGUUUUUUCGCUAUGGGAUCGGGCUAUAUGAUAUCAGCUUGUUGGUGAGGUAACGGCUCACCAAGGCUAUGACAUCUAACUGGUCUGAGAGGAUGAUCAGUCACACUGGAACUGAGACACGGUCCAGACUCCUACGGGAGGCAGCAGUGGGGAAUAUUACACAAUGGGCGAAAGCCUGAUGUAGCAACGCCGCGUGGAGGAUGACACAUUUCGGUGCGUAAACUCCUUUUAUACAGGAAGAUAAUGACGGUACUGUAUGAAUAAGCUCCGGCUAACUCC